This 94-nucleotide transfer RNA is filed under the name bacterium. RNAcentral describes it as "tRNA-Ser". It matches the Rfam family "tRNA". From Rfam's summary of the family: Transfer RNA (tRNA) molecules are approximately 80 nucleotides in length. Their secondary structure includes four short double-helical elements and three loops (D, anti-codon, and T loops). The record is from RNAcentral.
GGGUGUGUGGCAGAGUCUGGUUUAUCGCGCUGGUCUUGAAAACCAGAGGGGUCUUCAAAAGCCUCCGUGGGUUCGAAUCCUACCGCACCCGCCA